This 468-nucleotide ribosomal RNA is filed under the name uncultured bacterium. Its description in RNAcentral is "partial 16S ribosomal RNA". It matches the Rfam family "Bacterial small subunit ribosomal RNA", at positions 28 to 507 of the family's 1533-position model. The record is from RNAcentral.
GACGAACGCUGGCGGCGUGCUUAACACAUGCAAGUCGAACGGAAAGGCCCUGCUUUUGUGGGGUGCUCGAGUGGCGAACGGGUGAGUAACACGUGAGUAACCUGCCCUUGACUUUGGGAUAACUUCAGGAAACUGGGGCUAAUACCGUAUAGGAGCUCCUGUUGCAUGGUGGGGGUUGGAAAGUUUCGGCGGUUGGGGAUGGACUCGCGGCUUAUCAGCUUGUUGGUGGGGUAGUGGCUUACCAAGGCUUUGACGGGUAGCCGGCCUGAGAGGGUGACCGGCGACAUUGGGACUGAGAGACGGACCAGAGUCCUACGGGAGGCAGCAGUGGGGAAUAUGGCACAAUGGGCGGAAGCCUGAUGCAGCAACGCCGCGUGCGGGAUGACGGCCUUCGGGUUGUAAACCGCUUUCGCCUGUGACGAAGCGUGAGUGACGGUAAUGGGUAAAGAAGCACCGGCUAACUACGUG